RNAcentral lists this ribosomal RNA (468 nucleotides) under uncultured bacterium. RNAcentral's name for it is "partial 16S ribosomal RNA". It matches the Rfam family "Bacterial small subunit ribosomal RNA", at positions 28 to 507 of the family's 1533-position model. The record is from RNAcentral.
GACGAACGCUGGCGGCGUGCUUAACACAUGCAAGUCGAACGGAAAGGCCCUGCUUUUGUGGGGUGCUCGAGUGGCGAACGGGUGAGUAACACGUGAGUAACCUGCCCUUGACUUUGGGAUAACUUCAGGAAACUGGGGCUAAUACCGGAUAGGAGCGCCUGCUGCAUGGUGGGGGUUGGAAAGUUUCGGCGGUUGGGGAUGGACUCGCGGCUUAUCAGCUUGUUGGUGGGGUAGUGGCUUACCAAGGCUUUGAAGGGUAGCCGGCCUGAGCGGGUGACCGGGCACAUUGGGACUGAGGUACGGCCCAGAGUGCUACGGGAGGCAGGAGUGGGGAAUAUUGCACAAUGGGGCGAAGCCUGAUGAAGAAACGCCGCGUGCGGGAUGAAGGCCUUCGGGUUGUAAACCGCUUUAGCCUGUGACGAAGCGUGAGUGACGGUAAUGGGUAAAGAAGCACCGGCUAACUACGUG